CCUACGGGGUGCAGCAGUGAGGAAUAUUGGUCAAUGGACGAGAGUCUGAACCAGCCAAGUAGCGUGAAGGAUGACUGCCCUAUGGGUUGUAAACUUCUUUUAUAAAGGAAUAAAACGAGGCACGUGUGCCUUUUUGCAUGUACUUUAUGAAUAAGGAUCGGCUAACUCCGUGCCAGCAGCCGCGGUAAUACGGAGGAUCCGAGCGUUAUCCGGAUUGAUUGGGUGUAAAGGGAGCGUAGAUGGGUUGUUAAGUCAGUUGUGAAAGUUUGCGGCGCAACCGUAAAAUUGAAAUUGAUACUGGCAGUCUUGAGUACAGUUGAGGUAGGCGGAAUUCGUGGUGUAGCGGUGAAAUGCUUAGAUAUCACGAAGAACCCCGAUUGCGAAGGCAGCUUACUAAACUGUGACUGACAUUGAUGCUCGAAAGUGUGGGUAUCAAACAGGAUUAGAUACCCCAGUAGUC
This 460-nucleotide ribosomal RNA is filed under the name uncultured bacterium. RNAcentral's name for it is "partial 16S ribosomal RNA". It matches the Rfam family "Bacterial small subunit ribosomal RNA", at positions 338 to 795 of the family's 1533-position model. The record is from RNAcentral.